AUUGAACGCUGGCGGCAUGCUUUACACAUGCGAGUCGAACGGCAGCGCGGGCUUCGGCCUGGCGGCGAGUGGCGAACGGGUGAGUAAUAUAUCGGAACGUACCCAAGAGUGGGGGAUAACGUAGCGAAAGUUACGCUAAUACCGCAUACGAUCCAAGGAUGAAAGCAGGGGACCGCAAGGCCUUGUGCUCCUGGAGCGGCCGAUAUCUGAUUAGCUAGUUGGUGAGGUAAAGGCUCACCAAGGCAACGAUCAGUAGCUGGUCUGAGAGGACGACCAGCCACACUGGAACUGAGACACGGUCCAGACUCCUACGGGAGGCAGCAGUGGGGAAUUUUGGACAAUGGGGGCAACCCUGAUCCAGCAAUGCCGCGUGAGUGAAGAAGGCCUUCGGGUUGUAAAGCUCUUUUGUCAGGGAAGAAAAGGCUGUGGCUAAUAUCCACAGCUGCUGACGGUACCUGAAGAAUAAGCACCGGCUAACUACGUGCCAGCCGCCGCGGUAA
This 500-nucleotide ribosomal RNA is filed under the name uncultured bacterium. RNAcentral's name for it is "partial 16S ribosomal RNA". It matches the Rfam family "Bacterial small subunit ribosomal RNA", at positions 30 to 523 of the family's 1533-position model. The record is from RNAcentral.